UACGGAAGGCAGCAGUGGGGAAUAUUGCACAAUGGGCGCAAGCCUGAUGCAGCCAUGCCGCGUGUAUGAAGAAGGCCUUCGGGUUGUAAAGUACUUUCAGUCGUGAAGGAAGGUGUUAAGGUUAAUAACCUUAGCAAUUAGACGUUAGCGACAGAAGAAGCACCGGCUAACUCCGUGCCAGCAGCCGCGGUAAUACGGAGGGUGCGAGCGUUAAUCGGAAUUACUGGGCGUAAAGGGCACGCAGGCGGUUAAUUAAGUUGGAUGUGAAAUCCCCGGGCUUAACCUGGGAAUGGCAUUCAAGACUGGUUAGCUAGAGUCUUGUAGAGGGGGUAGAAUUCCAUGUGUAGCGGUGAAAUGCGUAGAGAUGUGGAGGAAAUACCGGUGGGCGAAAGGCGGCCCCUGGGACAAAGACUGACGCUCAUGGUGCGAAAGCGUGGGGAGCAAACAGGGAUUAGAUACC
This 460-nucleotide ribosomal RNA is filed under the name uncultured bacterium. RNAcentral's name for it is "bacterial SSU rRNA". It matches the Rfam family "Bacterial small subunit ribosomal RNA", at positions 340 to 786 of the family's 1533-position model. The record is from RNAcentral.